GAAUGCACUCCCAGGACUGCUACUUCCACAAGAAAUGUUGUUUUUGUUCGAAAUAAUCCAUAUUUUUAUCUAAAUACCUCUGUUUUGUUCGUGAGUUCAGGUUUUCUCAGGUUUUUGCCUGCCAUAUGAGUUCUAUUAUACUCACAGACACCAUUCAAACAGUUUUAGAAACUUCAGAGUGUUUUCUAUCCAAAUCUACUAAUAAUAUGCAUAUUCUAGUUCCUGGGCCGGAGUAGUAACCAGAUUAAUUUGGGUACGUUUUUCAUCCUGCCGUGAAAAUACUGCCCCCUAUACCUUAAGAAUUUAAGGAGGAAGCAGCCUGCACAAAGGGGCAGAGGAGGUGAGAGAAAAGGGAGGUAUGAAGAGUGAGUGAGAAGAGAGGUAUGAAGGGUGAGUGAGAAGAGAGGUAGGAAGAGUGAGAGAGGAGAGGUAUGAAGAGUGAGUGAGAAGAGAGGUAUGAAGAGUGAGUGAGAAGAGAGGUAUGAAGAGUGAGUGAGAAGAGAGGUAUGAAGCGUGAGAGAGCAGAGCGGUAUGAAGAGUGAGAGACAAGGGAGGUAUGAAGAGUGAGUGAGCAGAGAGGUAUGAAGGGUGAGUGAGAAGAGAGGUAGGAAGAGUGAGAGAGGAGAGGUAUGAAGAGUGAGAGACAAGGGAGGUAUGAAGAGUGAGUGAGAAGAGAGGUAUGAAGCGUGAGAGAGCAGAGCGGUAUGAAGAGUGAGAGACAAGGGAGGUAUGAAGAGGUGAGUGAGUGAGUGAGUGAGUGAGUGAGUGAGUGAGUGAGUGAGUGAGUGAGUGAGUGAGUGAGUGAGUGAGUAUGGUAUGAAGAGUGAGUGAGUGAGAAGAGAGGUAUGAAGAGUGAGAGACAAGGGAGGUAUGAAGAGUGAGAGACAAGGGAGGUAUGAAGAGUGCGACAAGGGAGGUAUGAAGAGUGAGAGACAAGGGAGGUAUGAAGAGUGCGACAAGAGAG
This 964-nucleotide long non-coding RNA is filed under the name Salmo salar (Atlantic salmon). Its description in RNAcentral is "lncRNA (ENSSSAG00000110124.1)". Lineage: Eukaryota; Metazoa; Chordata; Actinopteri; Salmoniformes; Salmonidae. The record is from RNAcentral.